This 2133-nucleotide ribosomal RNA is filed under the name Triticum aestivum (bread wheat). RNAcentral describes it as "partial small subunit ribosomal RNA". Lineage: Eukaryota; Viridiplantae; Streptophyta; Magnoliopsida; Poales; Poaceae. The record is from RNAcentral.
AUGGAGAGGAUACCGAUACCAAUCGCGAUGCUGCCGCAGAAGUCGAGCAGCUUCUCUCAGGCCACCAUCCGCGAGGAUAAGCUCGGCCGCAACCUCUCCCUCGGCGCCAUCAAGCUAAAUGAGCACAUCGAGCGCGCCAAGAAGGAUGCCGCCGAAGCCGCCGGCGAUAAGAAGGCGGCAGCGGGUGGCGGAGAGGGUGCCCCCCCGGACGGCUCCGGGGUCGGUGAGACGCCCGAGCCGCCGCCGCAUGAGGAGCCUGACCUCGCCGAGCUCUCUGCGGAGGUCGACGCCUUCCUCGCAAGCCGGGACGGGGACGCCCCGCUGAGCAUCUCGGAGGUGACGCUCGACAGGUUCGCCUCCGCCGUGGAGGUGGAGAUAGCGCAGUCGGAGGAAAAGGAGGGUAAGUGGGCGCUGGGGGAGGGCGGCGAGCAGCCGCUUCUCCUCGCCGCGAUCAAGCGCAUCGUCACGCUCGCAUCCGCGCUCACCGCAACCGGUGGCGGCAAUGGCACGGAGGGGGCCGUCAAGUACACCAUUGGCGUACACCGCGUCACCGGCGUGCUCCACCGCUCCAUGACGUUCCUCGAGGACGAGCUCCACGCGCUGCUCGAGGACCCAUGCCUCGCCAAAACGCCCAAGGCCAGCGAGUCCGGCAGCGCUACCGCCAAGUCCAUGAAGCGCCCGCCGUCGUUCGGGCAAGGUGGCGACCCAGAUCGGCCCGUCGUUCCUCCCACUGAGGGCGGCAGUGCAGGCGACGACGCCUCCCAGUUCCAGCCGUUCCCCGCGGAGACCGUGGACCAUCUCCGCGCCAUGGCCGAGGUCAUGAUCACCGCGGGCUACGAGACGGAGUGCAUACAGGUGUUCCUCGUGGCGCGCAGGAACGCGCUGGACGCCACGAUGCAAAGCCUCGGGUACGAGAAGGCGAGCAUUGACGAUGUGGUGAAGAUGUCAUGGGAGGGGCUCGAGUCGGAGAUCGGGACAUGGAUCAAGGCGUUCCGGCACAUCCUCAACGCCGGCCUCUCCGCCGAGCACGACCUCUGCGUCCGUCUAUUCGUUGGCCGCAACGCCGGCCUUGGCCGCGAUAUCUUUGCGGACCUGGCCCGCUGCGCCAUGCUCCAGAUGUUUAACUUCACGGAGGCCGUGGCUAUGACCAAGCGCGCCGCCGAGAAGCUCUUCAAGGUGCUCGACAUGUACGAGGCUAUCCGCGAUGGAGCCCCCGUCGUGGACGGCCUCAUCUCCACGAACAAAGCCGAAGGCGGCGAGAACAGCAGCGGCGCCGAAGCGCUGGCCGACCUCAAGUCCGAGCUCGCGUCUGUGCGGUCCCGCCUAGGCGAGUCGGCCGCCGCCAUCUUCUGCGACCUUGAGAGCUCCAUCCGUGCCGACGCCGGAAAGCAGCCUGUCCCCGGCGGUGCGGUGCACCCGCUGACACGCUACCUGAUGAACUACCUCAAGUACGCGUGCGAAUACAAGAACACGCUGGAGCAGGUGUUCCGGGAGUUCCACCGGCCGGACGCCGUCGACUCCCCCGGGCACGAAGGCGAGAGCAACCCGUUCGCGGCGCAGCUGAUGGAGGUGAUGGAGCUCCUCCACGGGAACCUGGAGGCCAAGUCGAAGCUGUACAAGGACCUGGCGCUGAGCAGCAUCUUCCUGAUGAACAACGGGCGGUACAUGCUGCAGAAGAUCCGGGGCUCGCCGGAGAUCAACGCGGUGGUCGGCGAGGCGUGGGCGAGGAAGCGGUCGACGGACCUCCGGCAGUACCACAAGAACUACCAGCGCGAGACGUGGGGCCGCGUGCUGAACGUGCUCCGCGACGACGGCGGGAUCACGGUGAAGGGGCACGUGCAGAAGCCGGUGCUCAAGGAACGGUUCAAGCAGUUCAACGCGGCCAUAGACGAGAUCCAGCGGACGCAGGGCGCGUGGGUGGUGAGCGACGAGCAGCUGCAGUCGGAGCUCCGGGUAUCCAUCACCGCCGUCGUGGUGCCGGCGUACCGGUCCUUCCUCGGCCGCUUCGCUCAGCACUUCACCGCGGGGAGGCAGACGGAGAAGUACAUCAAGUUGAGCGCAGACGACCUCGAGGGCAUCAUCGAGGAGCUCUUCGAGGGCAGCGCCGGGUCCAUGUCAAGGAGAAGAAAUUAA